GGGGAUUAUGAGGAAUUGUACCCUAACGUAUUGGGACUCGAUUUCUUUACAUGACUUGAACAAUUUGUUAGCUUUUUGCAAAUUUCAUCAUUCAAGCUUAUUUUAAAAUCUUUUUAACUUUCGACACUAAGACAUCAAAUAAUCAAUUUGGUGCCGAUUUUGGGCGUUACGAGGGUGCUAACCGUUCCGGAAGAACCUUAUGAUUAUAGAGAAGGUUUUUUUUUUCCCCAAAGGAGCUUUGAUUUUGAGCGAGAUGGAUGAUAAACCUGCAAAGUCCUGUAAACUCAGAUUCAGUCAGGAAAUACUCCGCUUAAAGAAGGAGAGGACCAAGGUAAAAACCCGCAAAGGGAAGUUUGGGUCCAAAAAAAAAGUGAUGUGAAAAAAUGAAAAGAUGAAAAUGAAAAAUGAAAAAAUGGAGAGGCUAAGGUGAAAACCUGCAAAGGGCGCCUUAGACCAAAAGGGAUUUGAGUGGCGAAUAUCUAACAAGGAUCCUUUUAAAAUGUGUCUGCAUAUAUGGCAUCGAUGUGCAAAUUUUUCACCACUUCUUCAUACAUUCAGUGCCUCCAUCCUCAAUCAUGAUUGAGUAACGGAUUUUCUGCACUUGAUGAGUCACCCAACUUGACAACACCCAUGUUGAUGAGUUUUUCAACUAGCAGCUCACGUCUGAAUAUUAUUAUUUUAAUGAAUACAUUAUUGCAAUCAUCUUUGAGCAAAUGUUCUUUCAUUCUUUACGUUUUUUUUCAUUCUUUCAGAUUUUUUCUGCCAAAUUAUUCAUUCAUUUAUUCAUAUUACUCAUACAUUCUUUUGUAUAUUCUUCGGUACCUACCAUGGGUCCCCAAAUAUCAAUGACAUGAGUGACGUUGCUACAGGCUUAAAAUCGUCUUUUGAGUGAGACAUGUGUUUAGAGGGAUCUCAUGACUUUGAAGAUAUCAAAAUUAUUAUUUUCGUGUACAUACAAACAUUUUUUUUAAAAGGUGAAUCGAGUCUUUUUUUUUUGUCUAUUCUUGUUUCGAUUUAUUUUUUUCACAUUAAAAAUAUAAAGAAAAGAGGGAAGAGGAAACUUACCUUUUCGCCGAAAUCGCCGAGUUGGUGCUGGUUAACUUUGUCACUAUAUCUUCUUGGGAUUCUCGCAUCUUCUCAGACAUCUUUCAUCUUGUCUAACCGCUCCUGCACCUGUAGCUGAAGUCGGUCCUGCAUCUCCUUCUGAUACUGUUCGAGCUUUUCCAAUCUCUGAUCCAUAUCUUUCGUCUUUGCCCGAGUGCCGUAUCGGUGUUGGGUUGGUUGGUUGGUUUCCAGGUUAACUGAGCAAUGAUUUUAGUUAAUUAGGAUCAAUUAAACGGUGUUUAACUUAUCAUAAACAUUUUUUUGAUUGUUCUAUAUUCCCUUAUUUUAUACAUAUUGCACAUGUAUAUGUAUUUGAAUAUAUACGUAUGCGAAUUUUCAGGAUUUACCUAUGUAUAUAUAUUUAUACAUUUUAUUUUUCUAUUUUGUAAAUAUAUAUGAUUCAUAUUAAAGUGUUUGUUUUAUUGUGUAUUAACAUUUUGUCAUUUUUUUAUAUAUUUUUACCUCAAAGUAUUUUCUUUUGAUUCAAAGGUUUUUUUUUAAUAAAAGUAAUAUUCAAAGUUUGGGAUUUUCAAGGGAAAUGGAGCCCUAACGUAUUGGGUUCUGAUUUUCUUUGAUGAUCUUAAGUAACCGAGGAUAUUCUUUAUUCAAAAUGCAUGAGUAUAAAAAUCAUUUUAAGGAACUUAACUUGUCGUGCCCUAACGUAUUGGGUGUGACAUGUUACUUUCUCGAAAUGAAGAUUUUUCGCAUAAAAUAAAAGUGAUAUUCAAAGUUCGGGGAUUAUGAGGAAUUGUACCCUAACGUAUUGGGACUCGAUUUCUUUACAUGACUUGAACAAUUUGUUAGCUUUUUGCAAAUUUCAUCAUUCAAGCUUAUUUUAAAAUCUUUUUAACUUUCGACACUAAGACAUCAAAUAAUCAAUUUGGUGCCGAUUUUGGGCGUUACGAGGGUGAUAACCCUUCCUCGUGCGUAACUGACUCCCGAACUCGUUUUCUCAAAAUUCGUAGACCAAAAUCAUUUUAAGGUGAGCCGAUCACACCUUAAUAAAGGAUCGGUGGCGACUCCAGUUUUUGUUUUUUAAGUCGACAACUAAAAUUUUUGUUUUUCAAAAAACGGUUUCGACAGCUUGGCGACUCCGCUGGGGACAUUUGAGAGUCGAGCCAUGAAUUGAUUAUGCUUUGUCUUUUUGUCGAAAGUCAAAAGUUUUUUUUAAAAAAUCAUGAUUUCCUUUUGCAUUUAUUGAUUUUCAUCAUUUGCAUGAUUGAAUCAAGUUGGUUGAUCUGUAUUUGCAUUUUGCAUUGCAUGGUCAGUGUUACCCUUUAAGUGGGAGCGAGAAACUAGUCCUUCGUGAGGUUUUCACCUCCGUGCAGGGUAGUGGACCGCUUUCGGGAUACAUCCGUACCUAUGUCUUCGUGAGAUUUUCAUCUCCGUGCAGCCAUAGGGAAAUGCAUCCCCCUGAACUGAACUCGAUUCACAUGAGCCUUUAAUGGGUGAGGAUCGAGGAAUCUGCUGGUUCGGGUACCCUUACUCUAGAAAAUAACCCUCAUAUAGUAAACGUUAGGAACUUACCCUAGGUAGAGCUAUACCAAACCCUAGAGGGGUCCUGAAUAGGUGCUUUUAUAAUUUUCUGUGUACAUUAAAUUAUGAUUUUAUGCAUGAUACUAACUUGUGUGUUUUGUUUUGGCUGCAUGACAUUUUUGAUUGCAUGGCAUUUCAUCAUAUAAAAGAGAUGUUGAUUCACGUUUGGUUGUUAAUAGAGAACUUACCAGGGAAAACGAGUUUCUUGAUAAGGUGAAGGAUAAUACGGUUGUUCGAGUAUAGUCUACGAAAACGUGACACAAAAGGUAAUAGCCUAACAAGAGGAGUAUACGACUUUGCUGCAUGACCUGAGGAUCAAAAUUGUCAAAGUUUAUUCAAAAGUCAUCAAAGGUCCCAAUUUUUUAAAGAAGCUAAUGAACGUGAGUGAGCAAGGAAUUGCGACCUAGAUCGAACAAAAAUGAGCUCAAAUUCGCGAGUUGUAUCUUAAUAUCUGAAGGGUCGAUGUCUUCACUUGGAGUACGAGGGUAAAGCCGUAUAUAUAUCCGCUUUGUGUAAAGAGAUUUGUUUUCUAACGAAGUUUUUCUAGUAAAGAAUUGAACCGGAAUCAACGUCUCUUUUUGCAUUCAUUUCAUGCAUUUGCAUUUCAUUACAUCAUAUGCAUUAGACACCGUUUAAUUGAUCCUAAUUAACUAAAAUCAUUGCUCAGUUAACCUGGAAACCAACCAACCAACCUAACACCGAUAUGGCACUCGGGCAAAGACGAAAGAUAUGGAUCAGAGAUUCGAAAAGCUCGAACAGUAUCAGAAAGAGAUGCAGGACCAACUUCAGCUACAGGUGCAGGAGCGGUUAGACAAGAUGAAACAAGAGAUGUCUAAGAAGAUGCGAGAAUCCCAAGAAGAUAUAGUGACAAAGUUAACCCAACUAAUAACUAAGGGAAGUGACAAAGGAAAGGGCCCCAUGGCAAAUGUCGAAGAGGGAAAUGAUGAUGAACCUCUCUAUCCUUCAGGCUUCACCCCUCCACAUGUUCGAACCCAAGUUGAAUACCUGCAUAAACCUACUGUUACAAUCAGGCCUCAGCAGUCCCAGGCCAGUGCUUCGAACUUUCAAGUUAGAUUGGGCUCUAACCCCAAAAACUACCCUGUUAACUCUGCCAUUCCCGACUUCGAUGAAGUGGCUGAAAAGGAAAGAAUAAAGGAGGAGUUACCGACACAGUUAGAGGAAAGGUGCAAGUGGCUCGAGGAGAAAUUUAAGGCGAUAGAGGUCACUGAAGCCUAUCGUGGGAUUGACGCUAAAGAGCUGAGUUUAGUUCCGGAUUUGGUACUCCCCCAUAAGUUUAAGAUGCCAGAAUUCGAGAAGUACAAUGGGGCAAGUUGCCCAGAAGCACAUAUCACUAUGUUUUGCAGUAGAAUGGCUGGAUAUGUUAACAAUGACCAGCUACUGAUUCAUUGUUUCCAGGAUAGCCUCACAGGGGCAGCAUCUAAGUGGUACAAUCAACUGAGUCGUACCACGAUUAGUUCAUGGAGGGAUUUGGCCCAAGCAUUCAUGAAACAGUAUAGUCAUGUGACGGACAUGGCUCUUGAUAGAAUCACCCUUCAAAACAUGGAGAAGAAGCCGAGUGAAAGCUUUAGGCAGUACGCACAGAGAUGGAGGGAAGUCACAAUCUAAGUUCAGCCACCGCUCUUAGAAAAAGAAACGACCAUGCUGUUCAUUAACACACUGAAAGCCCCGUUCAUUACGCAUAUGUUAGGAAAUGCUACAAAAAGCUUUUCUGACAUAAUUAUGAAUGGUGAAAUGAUCGAAAAUGCUAUAAGAAGUGGGAAAAUUGAGGCGGAAGAGAGUAACAAGCGGUCAGCCUCAAGGAGAAGAGAAAAUGAGGUGAACAACACAGGUUAUUCUAAAUCAGUUGCUGUAAGUCAUCCAAGAAAGGGGGUUGCUAGUUAACAAAGUUCAAUGAGACAGGAAUCUGGAGUGAAACCAGGUACUGAGAAGCUCCGGUUCACGCCAAUUUCGAUGUCGUAUAAGGAGCUGUACCAAAGCUUAUUUGAUGCGCACGUUGUUUCCCCUUCCUACUUAAAACCCCCACAACCUCCGUAUCCCAAGUGGUAUGAUGCGAACGCACAGUGUGACUACCAUGCGGGAAUUACAGGGCACUCAAUCGAGAAUUGCAUUACCUUCAAAAAGCUAGUUGAAAAACUCAUCAACAUGGGUGUUGUCAAGUUGGGUGACUCAUCAAGUGCAGAAAAUUCGUUACCCAAUCAUGAUUGAGGAUGGAGGGACUGCAAUGUAUGAAGAAGUGGUGAGAAAUUUGUACAUCGAUGCCAUAUAUGCAGACACAUUUUAAAAGGAUCCUUGUUAGAUAUUCGCCUUAGAGGUGUUUUAAAUAAUGAGACUGUAGAGGAAACCCCUAAAGUAUUUAGAGUAUGUUGGAGUAAUGUUCAGAACACACUUGUUGCUUUCAGCCUAGAAGCAAUAAGAAUUUCUUUGUGAAAUAGGCUCACGUCUGAAUAUUAUUAUUUUAAUGAAUACAUUAUUGCAAUCAUCUUUGAGCAAACGUUCUUUCAUUCUUUACGUUUUUUUUCAUUCUUUCAGAUUUUUUCUGCCAAACUAUUCAUUCAUUUAUUCAUAUUACUCAUACAUUCUUUUGUAUAUUCUUCGGUACCCACCAUGGGUCCCCAAAUAUCAAUGACAUGAGUGACGCUGCUACAGACUUAAAAUCGCCUUUUGAGUGAGACAUGUGUUUAGAGGGAUCUCAUGACUUUGAAGAUGUCAUAGAUUGUAGCUUAUCUCCUGACUUGUUGAGGAUGGUAAAGCAAUAAGAGAAACAAGUAAGACAGUAGAGACUGCGAUCUUGAGAGAACAGGCAUGACCAAAAAAUAAAGCAAGACGUUGCUGAGUUACUUCAAGCAUUUAAAGAUGCCUUUGCAUGGUCAUACCAGGAUGUACCCAGUUUAAGCGCUGUAAUUGCAAUCUGAACAACAGCCCGAUAUUAGAAAUUUACAGUAUGUUCAAUAAUGAUGCAGUGAAAACUCUAUCGGAGUAGUGCCUCUCUCUUUAAGUUCAUCAUUGAAGUUGAAAUUCUUUCUCUCCGGGUAUUGGCUGAGCAAGUUGGAUGAAGCAGAACGGAUCCAAUCGCAAUGUGAUCAAUUGAACUUGAUAGAAGGACGAAUACUAAAAGCUAUUCGUCACGGUCAGAUGUACCAGAAAUGAAUGAUGCGAGCCUAUAACAAAAGGUUCAUCCCAGAGAAUUCCACGAGGGUGACAAAAUGUUGAAGAUCUUCCUUCUACAAAAAAAAUGUUUUGGAGGGAAGCGGAUGCCAAAUUGGGAAGAACCUUAUGAUUAUAGAGAAGGUUUUUUUUUCCCCAAAGGAGCUUUGAUUUUGAGCGAGAUGGAUGAUAAACCUGCAAAGUUCUGUAAACUCAGAUUCAGUCAGGAAAUACUCCGCUUAAAGAAGGAGAGGACCAAGGUAAAAACCCGCAAAGGGAAGUUUGGGUCCAAAAAAAAGUGAUGUGAAAAAAUGAAAAGAUGAAAAUGAAAAAUGAAAAAUGGAGAGGCUAAGGUGAAAACCCGCAAAGGGCGCCUUAGACCAAAGGGGAUUUGAGUUGAAAACCCCAAAAGGGCGGCUCAAAUGUUGAUCAAAAUGGCGUUUGAAAUUUUUAGAGCAGCUCGAAUACUGAUCAGAAUGGGGGCAGGCAGUGGUCUUGCUAUACCGGAAUCAACAGGAAAGGGUAGGCGACAUCUUAGGGCAUCGACAAAGUACUCCUAAACACAUUUUAAACUCAGAAUGGUCUUAAAAAAUCUGUACAGAGAAGUUCAAGCUACGAUAUCUGGGGCACCUAAUCCUUAUAUUAUUUUUUGUUAUUCUUGGAACAUUUCAUUCAUUUCCAAGAUAUGCAUUCCUAAAUCAAUUUCUUUGUUAUCCAUCUUUAUUAUCUUUGACAACUUAUUCAUUUCGAGCUAUGCUCAGAACCAACUCAAUUCUUAUCCAUGAUCUUUUUUGCAAGCAUGUUGCAUUAGAAUAAUGAUUAAUGGACUAAUAAAACUUUCACAAGGGAAGUUUUGCAUAUUACUCUAAAAGUUUCUGAAUAAUAUAGGAACCUCAAACAUGACUAUUGUUUAGAACGCACCAGGUUGGAAAUCUGAUAAAGAAGAGUCUAAAUUAAGACUAUCCAUUUGAAUUUUCUUGUCUAAAGUAUUAAUUGAACAAAAUGGCAAGGUGUCGUGUUGGUGAAAAAGCUUCAAUGAACAAGCAAGCAAUGAUCACCGAGUAAUAUGAAGAAGUUGUUCUUGGAGAAGAUUUCUUCAUUUGUGCAUGAGCAUUUGGUACAACACCCUGGGAAUGGUGUAAGAGACCAAAAAGUUUCACAUCCUGUAUCCUUGAAUUGUGAUAGUAAAGGAUUGAGAAAAGGCCGAAUCUUUUUAUUAUUGGGUUACAACAGGAGAAAGAUGGUACAUAUUUUGCAUCCCAGUGGAUCAAACUUGGAGGUUUACAGUGGGGGGCAAUCUGGUUAAGUGUUUUUCGGAGAUGCUAGCUGAGCAAGAAUGUGUUAUAGCUCAUUAGUGAGGAAACCUUAAUAAACUAGGAGUAAUAAUAACUCAAACGUUAAAAUAUCAUUUUCAUGACAUUCUACAUUCAUGCAAACACCAUUCACAUCUGUCUAGUUAGGAGCAUUUGAUUCAUUUUGAUCAUGUCGUCCUAAUCAUUAGGCAUAAUUAGGUUCAUUACACAUGUCAUGUUCCCUAGAGAACAAAUCAGUGAUGAUAACAGAUAUUGCCUUCCUACAUCGACAGUGAAGCAGAUCGAAGACACCAACCUCGCCUCCCUCGGAGACAGUGGAGCAGGUUGAAGAUAGCAGAUCUUGCCUUCCUGCAUAGACAGCGAAGCAGAUCAAAGAUGACAGAUUUUACCUCCCCGUGGUUACAGUGGAGUACAUUGAAGCCAAUAAUUCUACUUCCCUGGGCAACAGUGGAGUAGAUUGAAUAUUUCAGAUCCUAUCUCCCUAAGCAGUAGUGGAGCAGAUCAAAGAUGGCAGAUUUUACCUCCCUAUGGUUACAGUGGAGUACAUUGAAGCCAGUAAUUCUAUCUCCCUGGGCAGCAGUGGAAUAGAUUGAAGAUUUCAGAUCUUGUCUCCCUAAGCAGUAGUGGAGCAGAUCAAAGAUGGCGAAUUUUACCUCCUUGUGGUUACAGUGGAGCACAUUGAAGCCAGUAAUUCUACUUCCCUGGGCAGCAGUGGAAUAGAUUGAAGAUUUCAGAUCUUGCCUUCCUGCAAUCGACAGCGAAGCAGAUCGAAUAUGGCAGAUUUUACCUCCCUGAGGUUACAGUGGAGUACAUUGAAGCCAGUAAUUCUAUCUCCCUGGGCAACAGUGGAAUAGAUUAAAGAUUACAGAUCUUGCCUCCCUAAGCAGUAGUGGAGCAGAUCGAAGAUGGCGGAUUUUACCUCCUUGAAAUUACAGUGGAGUAUAUUGAAGCCAGUAAUUCUAUCUCCCCGGUCGGCAGUGGAAUCGAUAGAAGAAAGCAGAUCUUGUCUUCAUGUAUUGGCGUGAAGUAGAUCAAAGAUAACAGGUCAUGCCUUCCUAUAUCGGUAGCGAAGUGGAUCGAAUAUACAGAUCUUAUCUUUCUAUAUUGGUGGUGAAGUAGAUCGAAGAAAGCAGAUCUUGUCUUCCCAUACUGGUGGUGAAGUAGAUCGAAGAUACAAGUCUUAUCUCCCUGAAGUUGCAGUGGAGCAGAUAGAAGUAACCAAUCCUAUCUCCUUAAAGUUGCAAUGGAGUGGAUUAAAAUCACAGAUCUCAUCUCUCUGAAAUUGCAGUAGAGUAGAUCGCGUCAGAUUUAUCUCAAAGUUGUAGCAGAAUAAGUUGAAGCUAUAAAUCUUAUCUCCCUGAAGUUGCAGUGGAGCAGAUUAAAAAUAGCGAAUUUUGUUCUCUUGAAGAACUACAACGUACGAAUCCUAUCUCCCUAGCAUUGCAGUAGAGUAGAUUGAAGCACUAGUUCCUAUAUCUUGGAAGAUGUAGCAAGAAGGAACGAGGCUAUUUGAAGUAGAGAAGCAUUGAAGAAGUCGAGGCUCAGUAAGACUGGGCACAAUUGGGCUUAUAGUCUUUGCUCUGUUCCCGUUACACGACAACGAGCAAAGAGGGGUAGUUGUAGGGCCCAAUUUUUGCCCAGCCCAUAUACAAAUAAUACAACUAAAUAAUAAAAACAAAUACAAAUAACAGUGGCCCGUACAAACCAAAGCCCCAAUCCAAUAGCCCAAAUAUUAACCUUAAUUACAAGCCCAAAAUACUAACAGCCUAGCAAGCCCAAAGCUUAACAAAUUUUCAGCCAAAUCAAAAACAAAAACCCUAGUAGCCGCUGUAGCGAUUCGCCCCUGCACGCCGCCGUGAAUAUCGUAGAACGACCCUCCGCGCACGUGCGCCUCCUCCACUACUUUCGUACCUGCGAGAAAGCGGAACCAACACUACAGCAAACGCAACAAUAACAGAAAAUAAGGAGGCUUUUUGAUUUUUACGGGAUUUUUAUUUGUUUAUUUUUCUUUGUUUUCGGUUAUAAAAACCGAUGGUAUUUCAGUGAAAAGAAGGACGAAAAAAGAAAAUACAGAGAAUACAAAACAUUUAUUUUUUGAAGGUGAAUCGAGUCUUUUUUUUAUUUUGUCUAUUCUUGUUUCGAUUUAUUUUUUUUACAUUAAAAAUAUAAAGAAAAGAGGGAAGAGGAAACUUACUUUUUCGCCGAAAUCGCCGAGUUGGUGCCCUCUCCGUCGCGAUUGGAGACCGGGCAUCAACGGAGGCCGUAUGGGUUCUUGAAAACGGCGGCGCUGAAGGGUUGAUAAAACCCUAAAGAAGCAGUCUGCUUCAAGGAAAGGGAAAACAGAUUUUUCCCUAAUUCUUUUUCUAUUUUUUUAAUUUAAAACAAAACGUAAAACGGCGCCGUUUAGGAGGACAUGAGCCGCGCAGUGACCCGACCCGGAGGGGAGGAUUCGAGCGUUCUGGCCUUAAAGGGUAAAUUUGCGCAAUUGGCCCCUCCUGCUUGCGACGCGCUUCAAUCAAGCCCAUUUUGUUAUUUUUUUAAAAAUUAAGCCGCAUAUUUCGUUUUUGUUUCAAUUUGGCCCAUCUCUGCGCAGCGUUUUGGGAAGGUGGAAAUAAUUUCCCUUUCGGUCCUCCAUUGUUUCCUGCGCAUUCAAAGUGGUCCCUCUUUUAUUUAUUUCAAAUUUGCCCCAUUUUUCGUCUUUUGUUCAAUUUAAUCCAUUUUUGAACUAUUUUACUAUUUAUUAUUAUUAUAUUAUAUUAUUACUUGUUUAUCAUUAUUAUUUAUUUUUAUUAUUAUUAUUAUUAUUGAAAUUAUUAUUUUCGUGUACAUACAAACAUUUUUUUAUAUUUUUAAUUUCAAAAACCUUUUUACUUUUGUAAAUAUGUAUAUACGUGUAUUCCUAUUUUUUUAUAUUACUUUCUUUAUUUUACAAAUGUGUGUAUAUAUAUAUAUGUAAAUAUACAUGCACAUUUUAAAAUACACAUACAUUUCCCAUAUAUUUUUUUUAAUUUUUAAAAGAGAAGUACAUUCGUCCUCUAUAAUAUAUAUAUAUAUAUAUUUUAUAUUCUUAACUUAUCAUAAACAUUUUUUUUGAUUGUUCUAUAUUCCCUUAUUUUAUACAUAUUGCACAUGUAUAUGUAUUUGAAUAUAUACGUAUGCGAAUUUUCAGGAUUUACCUAUGUAUAUAUAUUUAUACAUUUUAUUUUUCUAUUUUGUAAAUAUAUAUGAUUCAUAUUAAAGUGUUUGUUUUAUUGUGUAUUAACAUUUUGUCAUUUUUUUAUAUAUUUUUACCUCAAAGUAUUUUCUUUUGAUUCAAAGGUUUUUUUUUAAUAAAAGUAAUAUUCAAAGUUUGGGAUUUUCAAGGGAAAUGGAGUCCUAACGUAUUGGGUUCUGAUUUUCUUUGAUGAUCUUAAAUAACCGAGGAUAUUCUUUAUUCAAAAUGCAUGAGUAUAAAAAUCAUUUUCGGGAACUUAACUUGUCGUGCCCUAACGUAUUGGGUGUGGCAUGUUACUUUCAAACCUGCAAAGUCCUGUAAACUCAGAUUCAGUCAGGAAAUACUCCGCUUAAAGAAGGAGAGGACCAAGGUAAAAACCCGCAAAGGGAAGUUUGGGUCCAAAAAAAAAGUGAUGUGAAAAAAUGAAAAGAUGAAAAUGAAAAAUGAAAAAAUGGAGAGGCUAAGGUGCAAACCCGCAAAGGGCGCCUUAGACCAUCAAAUAAGCUUUGAUACAGCUCCUUAUACGACAUCGGAAUUGGCGUGAACUGGAGCUUCUCAGUACCUGGUUUCACUCCAGAUUCCU
RNAcentral lists this long non-coding RNA (10915 nucleotides) under Gossypium raimondii (Peruvian cotton). Its description in RNAcentral is "long non-coding RNA (GRAI_LNC000113)". Lineage: Eukaryota; Viridiplantae; Streptophyta; Magnoliopsida; Malvales; Malvaceae. The record is from RNAcentral.